GAUGAACGCUGGCGGCGUGCCUAAUACAUGCAAGUCGAGCGAACAGACGAGGAGCUUGCUCCUCUGACGUUAGCGGCGGACGGGUGAGUAACACGUGGAUAACCUACCUAUAAGACUGGGAUAACUUCGGGAAACCGGAGCUAAUACCGGAUAAUAUAUUGAACCGCAUGGUUCAAUAGUGAAAGACGGUUUUGCUGUCACUUAUAGGUGGAUCCGCGCCGCAUUAGCUAGUUGGUAAGGUAACGGCUUACCAAGGCAACGAUGCGUAGCCGACCUGAGAGGGUGAUCGGCCACACUGGAACUGAGACACGGUCCAGACUCCUACGGGAGGCAGCAGUAGGGAAUCUUCCGCAAUGGGCGAAAGCCUGACGGAGCAACGCCGCGUGAGUGAUGAAGGUCUUCGGAUCGUAAAGCUCUGUUAUUAGGGAAGAACAAAUGUGUAAGUAACUAUGCACGUCUUGACGGUACCUAAUCAGAAAGCCACGGCUAACUACGUG
RNAcentral lists this ribosomal RNA (497 nucleotides) under uncultured bacterium. RNAcentral describes it as "partial 16S ribosomal RNA". It matches the Rfam family "Bacterial small subunit ribosomal RNA", at positions 28 to 507 of the family's 1533-position model. The record is from RNAcentral.